UCGGAAUUUUAAUUAAAUUAUCACAAAAAAUGUAAACAAAACACACGCAUGAGCAGAACGGACUUGACAGCCUCUUUAAAUGAUUCCUAUAAUGACAUCGAGAUUUUUUGGCAUCUCGCUCGAUAGGACUACUGUAACAGUUGAAGGGUUUUUGUAACUGGAAAUUUCAAGUGGAAGUUUAUAUACAAUUUCAGACCUAACCAGGAGCAGUUGCGAAAAAUGCAACACACUAUAUAUGACAGGAACCGAACCUGCGACCCACGGAUUCCGGGACAGAGCUCUCACCAACUGAGCUGCAGAGUCUAGUUGUCCGGCUCUGACCGCAAGUUCAUGUAUAUAUGGUGCAGUGCUUUGACCAGCAAGCUACAAAGCGCAGUUGCCAAGAGCUAACCACAAUUUUAUGUAUAUAUUUGGAUGUGCCAAUGUGUGGUGCAAGGGUAAAUCAGUUCUUGGCAACUGGACUCUGUAAUUCAGUGGUUAGAGCCCUGCACCGGAAUCUCACUUAUCUCAGGUCCGCAGGUUCGAUUGCAAGGGACAAUGGGUGCAUUCAAUUUCGCAACUGUUCUCGGUUAAAAAUUGUAAAAAAUAUGUAUACAGCUUGUCGCUUGAAAUAACCCUUUCGAUAAUUACACGACAAGUCUUUCCUUGACCUGGGACGUUCGUAAGACUCGUGAGCGAAUUACCUUUCGUCUUCAUUCAAGAGAGCCAUGCUUCCAGGACGGUGUAAUGCAUUUAUACGAAACACACUGUCUGUUCUCUCCCGCGCAAAGCCCAAAAUUCCGCUAACUAGAAAUAGUAAUAGAAAACGCGAGGAACAUCCUCGCUUUUUCGCGCACGAAUACAUUUCUUUUUGGCUUGACUCUAAGCCAACCGAAAUCCUAUUAGCUUUUUCCCAAAAGAGAUCGCAGUGCAUAUUCUGGGAUCGUUUGGAGGGUCCGCAGUAAUUGGCUCACGCUGUUGCGGUCACCCUGCCUAUAGUCAUGUAUAUUAUUCUUGUUCUUGUUAUAGUUUUGUGUAUUGUAAUAUGGCGAAACUAAUAAAUAAAUAAAAAUAAAUAAAUAAAAUAUAUGGUGACAGGCGUCAAAUAUCAACUUUUUAGACAACCAAACGUGG
Paramuricea clavata is the source of this 1113-nucleotide non-coding RNA. NCBI's taxonomy places the organism in Eukaryota, Metazoa, Cnidaria, Anthozoa, Malacalcyonacea, Plexauridae. The record is from the annotation of a GenBank genome assembly.